Molecule: ribosomal RNA, 2029 nt
Filed under: Pseudomonas sp. FSL R10-1339
Lineage: Bacteria; Pseudomonadati; Pseudomonadota; Gammaproteobacteria; Pseudomonadales; Pseudomonadaceae
Description: partial 23S ribosomal RNA
Rfam family: Bacterial large subunit ribosomal RNA
Source: RNAcentral
CUUACCAAACCGAUGCAAACUCCGAAUACCUACAAGUGCCGAGCAUGGGAGACACACGGCGGGUGCUAACGUCCGUCGUGAAAAGGGAAACAACCCAGACCGUCAGCUAAGGUCCCAAAGUUAUGGUUAAGUGGGAAACGAUGUGGGAAGGCUUAGACAGCUAGGAGGUUGGCUUAGAAGCAGCCACCCUUUAAAGAAAGCGUAAUAGCUCACUAGUCGAGUCGGCCUGCGCGGAAGAUUUAACGGGGCUCAAACCAUACACCGAAGCUACGGGUAUCAUCUUAGGAUGAUGCGGUAGAGGAGCGUUCUGUAAGCCUGUGAAGGUGAGUUGAGAAGCUUGCUGGAGGUAUCAGAAGUGCGAAUGCUGACAUGAGUAACGAUAAUGGGUGUGAAAAACACCCACGCCGAAAGACCAAGGUUUCCUGCGCAACGUUAAUCGACGCAGGGUUAGUCGGUCCCUAAGGCGAGGCUGAAAAGCGUAGUCGAUGGAAAACAGGUUAAUAUUCCUGUACUUCUGGUUAUUGCGAUGGAGGGACGGAGAAGGCUAGGCCAGCUUGGCGUUGGUUGUCCAAGUUUAAGGUGGUAGGCUGGAAUCUUAGGUAAAUCCGGGAUUCUAAGGCCGAGAGCUGAUGACGAGUGUUCUUUUAGAACACGAAGUGGUUGAUGCCAUGCUUCCAAGAAAAGCUUCUAAGCUUCAGGUAACCAGGAACCGUACCCCAAACCGACACAGGUGGUUGGGUAGAGAAUACCAAGGCGCUUGAGAGAACUCGGGUGAAGGAACUAGGCAAAAUGGCACCGUAACUUCGGGAGAAGGUGCGCCGAUGGAGGUGAAGCAUUUACUGCGUAAGCCCCUGUCGGUCGAAGAUACCAGGCCGCUGCGACUGUUUAUUAAAAACACAGCACUCUGCAAACACGAAAGUGGACGUAUAGGGUGUGACGCCUGCCCGGUGCCGGAAGGUUAAUUGAUGGGGUUAGCUAACGCGAAGCUCUUGAUCGAAGCCCCGGUAAACGGCGGCCGUAACUAUAACGGUCCUAAGGUAGCGAAAUUCCUUGUCGGGUAAGUUCCGACCUGCACGAAUGGCGUAACGAUGGCGGCGCUGUCUCCACCCGAGACUCAGUGAAAUUGAAAUCGCUGUGAAGAUGCAGUGUAUCCGCGGCUAGACGGAAAGACCCCGUGAACCUUUACUAUAGCUUUGCACUGGACUUUGAAUUUGCUUGUGUAGGAUAGGUGGGAGGCUUUGAAGCGUGAACGCCAGUUUGCGUGGAGCCAACCUUGAAAUACCACCCUGGCAACUUUGAGGUUCUAACUCAGGUCCGUUAUCCGGAUCGAGGACAGUGUAUGGUGGGUAGUUUGACUGGGGCGGUCUCCUCCUAAAGAGUAACGGAGGAGUACGAAGGUGCGCUCAGACCGGUCGGAAAUCGGUCGUAGAGUAUAAAGGCAAAAGCGCGCUUGACUGCGAGACAGACACGUCGAGCAGGUACGAAAGUAGGUCUUAGUGAUCCGGUGGUUCUGUAUGGAAGGGCCAUCGCUCAACGGAUAAAAGGUACUCCGGGGAUAACAGGCUGAUACCGCCCAAGAGUUCAUAUCGACGGCGGUGUUUGGCACCUCGAUGUCGGCUCAUCACAUCCUGGGGCUGAAGCCGGUCCCAAGGGUAUGGCUGUUCGCCAUUUAAAGUGGUACGCGAGCUGGGUUUAGAACGUCGUGAGACAGUUCGGUCCCUAUCUGCCGUGGACGUUUGAGAUUUGAGAGGGGCUGCUCCUAGUACGAGAGGACCGGAGUGGACGAACCUCUGGUGUUCCGGUUGUCACGCCAGUGGCAUUGCCGGGUAGCUAUGUUCGGGAAAGAUAACCGCUGAAAGCAUCUAAGCGGGAAACUUGCCUCAAGAUGAGAUCUCACUGGAACCUUGAGUUCCCUAAAGGGCCGUCGAAGACUACGACGUUGAUAGGUUGGGUGUGUAAGCGCUGUGAGGCGUUGAGCUAACCAAUACUAAUUGCCCGUGAGGCUUGACCAUAUAACACCCAAGCAAUU